RNAcentral lists this unclassified non-coding RNA (223 nucleotides) under fungal sp. RNAcentral's name for it is "partial internal transcribed spacer region". The stretch from base 1 to 46 matches the Rfam family "Eukaryotic small subunit ribosomal RNA", at positions 1786 to 1831 of the family's 1831-position model. RNAcentral also lists the same sequence under 1 other name. The record is from RNAcentral. Lineage: Eukaryota; Fungi.
AAGUCGUAACAAGGUAUCUGUAGGUGAACCUGCAGAUGGAUCAUUACAAAAGUCUCUUGACUUACUAGUAUUGUGAACUUGUAUUUAAGAAGGGACGGUUGGCAUGACUGGGUCUUAGUGCCCUGCCCAUCCAGCCGCCCCACACUUUAAACGUCACUUUAUCACGCUUAAACCAAAGAUUUUAAAUAAAAGACAACUUUUAGCAACGGAUCUCUUGGUUCUC